UCCUACGGGGGGCAGCAGUGGGGAAUAUUGCACAAUGGGGGAAACCCUGAUGCAGCAACGCCGCGUGAGUGAAGAAGUAUUUCGGUAUGUAAAGCUCUAUCAGCAGGGAAGAAGAAAGACGGUACCUGACUAAGAAGCCCCGGCUAACUACGUGCCAGCAGCCGCGGUAAUACGUAGGGGGCAAGCGUUAUCCGGAUUUACUGGGUGUAAAGGGUGCGUAGGCGGUCGGAUAAGUUAGAGGUGAAAUCCCGAGGCUCAACUUCGGAAUUGCCUCUGAUACUGUUCGGCUAGAGAGUAGUUG
RNAcentral lists this ribosomal RNA (301 nucleotides) under uncultured bacterium. RNAcentral describes it as "bacterial SSU rRNA". It matches the Rfam family "Bacterial small subunit ribosomal RNA", at positions 337 to 654 of the family's 1533-position model. The record is from RNAcentral.